CCUACGGGAGGCUGCAGUGGGGAAUAUUGGACAAUGGGCGAAAGCCUGAUCCAGCCAUGCCGCGUGUGUGAAGAAGGCCUUCGGGUUGUAAAGCACUUUCAGUGGGGAAGAAAGCCUUGGGGCUAAUACCCUCGAGGAAGGACAUCACCCACAGAAGAAGCACCGGCUAACUCCGUGCCAGCAGCCGCGGUAAUACGGAGGGUGCGAGCGUUAAUCGGAAUUACUGGGCGUAAAGCGCGCGUAGGCGGUCUGAUAAGCCGGUUGUGAAAGCCCCGGGCUCAACCUGGGAACGGCAUCCGGAACUGUCAGGCUAGAGUGCAGGAGAGGAAGGUAGAGUUCCCGGUGUAGCGGUGAAAUGCGUAGAGAUCGGGAGGAAUACCAGUGGCGAAGGCGGCCUUCUGGACUGACACUGACGCUGAGGUGCGAAAGCGUGGGUAGCAAACAGAUUAGAUACCCUGGUAGUC
This 464-nucleotide ribosomal RNA is filed under the name Vreelandella stevensii. RNAcentral describes it as "partial 16S ribosomal RNA". It matches the Rfam family "Bacterial small subunit ribosomal RNA", at positions 338 to 795 of the family's 1533-position model. Lineage: Bacteria; Pseudomonadati; Pseudomonadota; Gammaproteobacteria; Oceanospirillales; Halomonadaceae. The record is from RNAcentral.